RNAcentral lists this ribosomal RNA (253 nucleotides) under uncultured bacterium. RNAcentral describes it as "partial 16S ribosomal RNA". It matches the Rfam family "Bacterial small subunit ribosomal RNA", at positions 524 to 776 of the family's 1533-position model. The record is from RNAcentral.
GACAGAGGGUGCAAACGUUGUUCGGAUUUACUGGGCGUAAAGCGCGUGUAGGCGGCUCGGCAAGUCGGGUGUGAAAGCCCUGGGCUCAACCCAGGAAGUGCACCCGAAACUGCCGAGCUCGAGUCCUGGAGAGGAAGGCGGAAUUCUCGGUGUAGAGGUGAAAUUCGUAGAUAUCGAGAGGAACACCGGUGGCGAAGGCGGCCUUCUGGACAGGUACUGACGCUGAGACGCGAAAGCGUGGGGAGCAAACAGG